RNAcentral lists this long non-coding RNA (829 nucleotides) under Salvia miltiorrhiza (redroot sage). RNAcentral's name for it is "long non-coding RNA (SMIL_LNC008830)". The record is from RNAcentral. Lineage: Eukaryota; Viridiplantae; Streptophyta; Magnoliopsida; Lamiales; Lamiaceae.
AGUUUGAGCUGGUAAUGCUCAUUCUGACCAUCUUUCUCUUAUUGCCCUGAACUGGACCUCUCAUCCCUUCAAACCUCGCUCUCUCCCCAAUAUGACCUAAACAGACACAAUAAAAGGGAAAAAUAGGGCCAAAUGGCCCAAAAGUCGAAGACGCAUCAAUCAUGAAGCAAACACUGGAAGACAUAUUGGUAUUAAGAGAUCAAACACAUAAUUUCAAUCAACUAUACAAAUCCUACAAUUAGAAAAGAAACUUAGCAGACAUAAUUAAAUAAAUUAAAGACAAAAAUAAAAUUAAAAUAACUGAAUUAAAUAAAUUGACAAAACCUUGAAAUGAAUUUAGUGUAACAAUCUUGAAUCUUCAAUUCUUUGUGGAAAACCAAAUCUCAGCUUUAAAACUAAGCUUUAAAACUAAGAAAACAAUUAAGUCUCAAACUAGGAAUAUGAUCUGGAACCCUCAGACUCGAAUAUAUACUAUGAAUUUAACAUGAAAUUAGGUCAAACACGGUUGAAAUUGGCAACCAUACCAGUAGGCCGCUGAAAUUACACUAAAAAGUCUAAGAAAAUAGGCGAUCAUCAUGCAGAUAGCCGUUUCUCACAUAAAUUCCAAAAUAAUUGGCAAUCGCUUCGGCAAUCUCCGAAAUUGUUCAUGCGUCUAUCACAAAAUAGGCGGCCGCCGUUUUCUCUCUUCUUUUGUUCUUUCUUCAUUUCUUCCUUCGUUUCUCACGCCCGUUUCUCUCCAUUCUUGAUCCUUGGGCGUAGUUUAUGUACACUACUACUCCAACACACUCAAUUCUACAUCAAAUGGACAAAACUAUACACAAACGUGACA